UCCAUAAGAGGGGUUACGGACUUCUUAUUUCCGCAGAAAGGGACGCAAGUGUAAUUUGAUGGCAAUAAUCCGGCUUCCUAAUCCUGUGGGUUCGCGGGGAUUCGAGGAAAUGUUAAAUGCUUUUGUUAUUCUGAAGGUUUAAUCAACCUGGGGAUUACGCUACCAUGUGCACGGAGUAUUUGCUGUUCCUCGUCAGAAAAAUUAUUGGGAACUCACACUGUUUCCUUGUAUGAGUUUGGCAUGGUGGAGUGGCACGAUAAAAAAAUGAACCAUUCUCCUUGGUAUGAACAUUGACAACCACGGUGGCACUUAGUUAAGGAGGUUCAGCUCAACACCUCAAAACUCAUACAUUUCCAGCCCUAACAGGUUUAAUCAAGGAGAAUUGCAUGACCGUCUUCUCCCAGAGGAGUUCGGCAUCAUCAUUUAUUUACUAAAUGAGUGUUUUUAACGCAAUGUUACCCAACUUGACUUUUGCAUUUAUCUCUCCG
RNAcentral lists this small RNA (488 nucleotides) under Histoplasma capsulatum. RNAcentral describes it as "hypothetical RNA". Lineage: Eukaryota; Fungi; Ascomycota; Eurotiomycetes; Onygenales; Ajellomycetaceae. RNAcentral also lists the same sequence under 1 other name. The record is from RNAcentral.